RNAcentral lists this long non-coding RNA (1188 nucleotides) under Numida meleagris (helmeted guineafowl). RNAcentral describes it as "lncRNA (ENSNMEG00000013476.1)". Lineage: Eukaryota; Metazoa; Chordata; Aves; Galliformes; Numididae. The record is from RNAcentral.
GAAUCAUAGCAUCAUUAAGGUUGGAAAAGACCACUAAGAUCGCAUAGCCCAAUGGCAGCCCAUCCCCACCAUGCCCAUUAACCAUGUCCCUCAGUGCCACAUGCACACGGUUCUGGAACACCUUGUUUUAGAGUGGGUCAUAGUGUUUCCAGAAGGUGGCACCGGGGGGAAAUGAAUGGAGAAUAGGAAACCAGGGGAGGCAAAAAGGAAAGGAAACGGUUGCCAUCGGCGCGCGGUACUGCUGUGCACCUUCCACAUAGAGACUGCAGAAACCUCAUGAAGCUCCACGGUUGCUGGUGAGUGAUUGAAAGGCCAAUCUCUAGGAUUUGUGUGUGAACACCUGUAGUGUUUUCCUUCCCAAUGAAAUAACUCUCUGGCUGGUCUGGUUUGGAUUUGGGUGCCUUUGUAUCAUCCCUGCUUUCCCUGAGCCACCCUUACUUUCUUCCCCAGGUCUCCAGGGUUCAAUCUCUGCCCGUGUGCCCAGUGUUCGGACCAUCUCACUGAUCGGGAGCACACAGAUGUGAGAACGUAGCAAGGCAUUGCUUAUGAAGAAAAUUCUGAGACAUUGAUUUCGUCACUCGGGCUGCUUUUUGGCCAUUCUAGUGCUGCAACCUGACAAGCCAUAGCAUCAACACCGGGGAAGGAAGAACUGUAUCAUCCUGCCUAACUCCAGGCUGAAGCUGCUGUGUGAGAAGGAAUCCAGCUGCACAAACUUCAACAGAAGUCAUGCCACACCACGUUGCUGUGCAAGAAUGUUCUCAUCCCUAUUUUCUCUGGGAUAUUUGAAAUCAUGAGAUUUGUAUGCAUGUUAAGACAUGCCGCUGCAGUAUGUGAUUGCACAAACCAUGCUGUUGUGUAUUCAGAGUCACAUACGUCUGCCCGAAUGACUGAAAUGAAGUAUUUGCUGCUUUCUACCUCAUUUAAACCUGCGGGAGCUGGUAGUGCUCAUCCUCCUCACACACUGAGGUAUCCACAUGUGCCACUCGCCAGCCUGGGGCUUCUUCUCCAAGCAAUGGCUGAGUAAAUCUCUUAAUAACAGAGCAAGUCCUCACAGAUUAUUGUGAUCAUAAUUUGGCUGACAUAGCCUUUAUUACUAAUGGCAAGGCUGGAAAUGGAAAACCCAGCUUGAUGCUCAGCUCCCUGCUGGAAAGUAAUAAAAUAAAGAGGAACAAAAUCCGUGAGUGUAUU